RNAcentral lists this ribosomal RNA (1750 nucleotides) under Listeria monocytogenes. RNAcentral describes it as "partial 23S ribosomal RNA". It matches the Rfam family "Bacterial large subunit ribosomal RNA", at positions 1178 to 2925 of the family's 2925-position model. Lineage: Bacteria; Bacillati; Bacillota; Bacilli; Caryophanales; Listeriaceae. The record is from RNAcentral.
GGGCUAAACAUAUUACCGAAACUGUGGAUGAACCUCUUUAGAGGUUCGUGGUAGGAGAGCGUUCUAAGGGCGGUGAAGUCAGACCGGAAGGACUGGUGGAGCGCUUAGAAGUGAGAAUGCCGGUAUGAGUAGCGAAAGAAGGGUGAGAAUCCCUUCCACCGAAUAUCUAAGGUUUCCUGAGGAAGGCUCGUCCGCUCAGGGUUAGUCGGGACCUAAGCCGAGGCCGAUAGGCGUAGGCGAUGGACAACAGGUAGAGAUUCCUGUACCAGUGCUAAUUGUUUAACCGAUGGGGUGACACAGAAGGAUAGGGAAUCGCACGAAUGGAAAUGUGCGUCCAAGCAGUGAGUGUGAGAAGUAGGCAAAUCCGCUUCUCGCGAAGCAUGAGCUGUGAUGGGGAAGGAAAUUAAGUACGGAAGUUCCUGAUUUCACGCUGUCAAGAAAAGCCUCUAGGAAGAGUAGUACUGCCCGUACCGCAAACCGACACAGGUAGAUGAGGAGAGAAUCCUAAGGUGAGCGAGAGAACUCUCGUUAAGGAACUCGGCAAAAUGACCCCGUAACUUCGGGAGAAGGGGUGCUCUAUUAGGGUGCAAGCCCGAGAGAGCCGCAGUGAAUAGGCCCAGGCGACUGUUUAGCAAAAACACAGGUCUCUGCAAAACCGUAAGGUGACGUAUAGGGGCUGACGCCUGCCCGGUGCUGGAAGGUUAAGAGGAGUGCUUAGCUUCGGCGAAGGUACGAAUUGAAGCCCCAGUAAACGGCGGCCGUAACUAUAACGGUCCUAAGGUAGCGAAAUUCCUUGUCGGGUAAGUUCCGACCCGCACGAAAGGCGCAACGAUCUGGGCACUGUCUCAACGAGAGACUCGGUGAAAUUAUAGUACCUGUGAAGAUGCAGGUUACCCGCGACAGGACGGAAAGACCCCGUGGAGCUUUACUGCAACCUGAUAUGGAAUGUUUGUACCGCUUGUACAGGAUAGGUAGGAGCCGAAGAGACGUGUGCGCUAGCAUACGAGGAGGCAAUGGUGGGAUACUACCCUGGCUGUAUGACCAUUCUAACCCGCCACGCUUAGCGCGUGGGGAGACAGUGUCAGGUGGGCAGUUUGACUGGGGCGGUCGCCUCCUAAAGAGUAACGGAGGCGCCCAAAGGUUCCCUCAGAAUGGAUGGAAAUCAUUCGCAGAGUGUAAAGGCACAAGGGAGCUUGACUGCGAGACUGACAAGUCGAGCAGGGACGAAAGUCGGGCUUAGUGAUCCGGUGGUUCCGCAUGGAAGGGCCAUCGCUCAACGGAUAAAAGCUACCCCGGGGAUAACAGGCUUAUCUCCCCCAAGAGUCCACAUCGACGGGGAGGUUUGGCACCUCGAUGUCGGCUCGUCGCAUCCUGGGGCUGUAGUCGGUCCCAAGGGUUGGGCUGUUCGCCCAUUAAAGCGGCACGCGAGCUGGGUUCAGAACGUCGUGAGACAGUUCGGUCCCUAUCCGUCGCGGGCGCAGGAAAUUUGAGAGGAGCUGUCCUUAGUACGAGAGGACCGGGAUGGACACACCGCUGGUGUACCAGUUGUUCCGCCAGGAGCAUCGCUGGGUAGCUAUGUGUGGCAGGGAUAAACGCUGAAAGCAUCUAAGCGUGAAGCCCCCCUCAAGAUGAGAUUUCCCAUUUCUUCGGAAAGUAAGAUCCCUGAAAGAUGAUCAGGUAGAUAGGUUUGGAGUGGAAGUGUAGCGAUACAUGGAGCGGACAAAUACUAAUCGAUCGAGGACUUAACCAA